Long non-coding RNA from Aedes albopictus (Asian tiger mosquito), 8860 nucleotides. RefSeq lists it as uncharacterized. Lineage: Eukaryota; Metazoa; Arthropoda; Insecta; Diptera; Culicidae. The transcript is spliced from 4 exons. The record is from RefSeq and is a predicted model, not a curated record.
CUUUUUAUUGUCGCGCUUAUCUUUUAUUAGAGUCCUGCGGCGGUCGUACGCUCGCAAUGCAUACCGCCGCAUGACAGUCGCAAGGCAAAACAAAAGAAAAAGUGUUCCCGCCAAAAACAAAAGCACGUGGGUUUCGCGAAGUGACAGAUGUUUUUGAAUGUAUUUGUGACGAACGGCAAGAGUAGCUCAGUGGAAUGAGUGUUCUUGCUGUCAAACCCCAUAUAGUGGAAUUAUAUACUUCUAAAUCUGGUGACGCUGUUAUGAUUAGUGACUGUCGCGCUAAUAUCAGAAGCCAGAGGCAGAUAAUCGCCAUAUUCUGAUUUUUCUUGAGAGGCGUAAUAUCGAUGAUCGACGAAAUAUGUUGAAAGACAUCCCCAAAACUGCAAUUUUCAUUCAGCACACGCAACACUUUGCAGUUUGACAUUGGUGCCAGAUCACACUUUGGCAAAAAACGGCAGAAAUUCUGAGGAGCUGUGAGGAAUUCUGAACAACACCUCGAACACAGAUUUGCUCUAGUUAGAUCUGUCUUGCCCCUAGACUCCUUCCCAGACGGAAGGAGUCUUUCCGGGGAAUCAUUUGUUCUUGCCUACCGGCCUACUCCACUGCCCUUCCGUCAGGAAGUCUUACCGGGGGAAUAUUUGUUGUUCACCUUCCGGCCUACUCCACUGAUCUUCCGUCAGGGAGUCUUACCGGGGGAAUCUUUUCUUUUUACCUCCCGGCCUACUCCACUGAUCUUUUGUCAGGAAGUCUUACCGGGGGAAUAUUUUAUUUUUCACCUUCCAGCCUACUCCACUGAUCUUCCGUCAGAGAGUCUUACCGGGGGAAUCUUUUCUUUAUACCUCCCGGCCUACUCCACUGAUCUUCUGUCAGGGAGUCUUACCGGGGGAAUCUUUACGUUUUCUCCUCCCGGCCUACUCCGAGGCGCUUCCGUCAGGGAGUUUUACCGGGGGAAUCUUUUUCCUUUUCACAAUAAUACAAACCUAUUAUUACUUUACAAUACAGUGGGAGCGCUACGGCUCCAAACCGGCUGCACCAUUGUGGUAUCCGGUCACUUUUUUUUUUUAAACCAUUCGGCCGAUCCGCCAUCAGCCGAAUUGGUUUUCUAAAUUUCAACGCGCACGACGACGAACAUCCGUCCGUCACAACAAUAUUCACUAAACUGAAGCAUCCUCAUCUAUCAGGCACGAGUCAAUGUAUCUGACGUUUAGGGUGCAUUACAGGCGUUAGCCCGUGAGCACUUUUAUAAAAUUCCAUUCAUGCACGCUCAGAUAAACGCAUGCGUGUACGCCAAGAAAAUGCAAUACAAAAUAAAACUAAGAAUAUAUCGCUUUUUCUACUCUGUCAUCUCUGGAUACUACACAAUGUAAAUUCAGUCCUUAAAUUAGUCAUAUCUAACGGGAUCCGGAUUCCUCUUCGACUGCGGAAACGCUGAAAACACCCGGCUUGCUCCAUAGUGGUUUUAUGUCGGGUUUCUCCUUCAAUGAAAGGUGGGCUAAUGGGAAUAAAUAAAAGGGGGUAAAGGUUCGGCAACAUUAUUAACUUUAACAUUAGAACAUCCAUAAAACUUACCUGCUAGUUCAGAUAGUAAUGUCCUUGCUCGUCUUUCAUAAGAACUACAAAAUCCAAAAUGUCCUAAAAUCUUGCCAAAUAUGAUUCAGUGGUCACUCGCACAAAGUACCUACGAGAAUAAAUAUGGUUGCCGUCGACAGAGCUUAGAACAGACGACAUCGAUGUCACGAUAACAUUGUAGUAACGAACCAAAAUAUUAGUUUGUAUUGAACCAAAACUCCGGUUGUUUUUUCUACAAAUAAAAUGUCGGUUUGAUUCAACCGGCACGUUUUGUUGAACCAAACUACACGAUUGGUUUGAUUCCUCAUAGGAGCUUGCAUAGGAGAUGAACAAACUUGAAAUUGGCAAAAACAAACUACAUGUUUGUUGAAAAACAACUAACAUGAUGGUUUGAAAAAACUUUUAUUUCGUUUGUUAUAGAAAUAUGGCCAUUAGUAGAAACAACAAAAUCAGGCGUUUGUUUCAAACCGAAAAAGGAGGUUUGAACCAACAAAAUUUUGGGUAAUAAUAACUAUUUUUCAUGUGGUAAAAUCAAUAAACAGGUUUGUUAUUUCAAACCGGUCUCAUUUUUCUCCGUGAGAGACUUGGUAUGAUAUUUUAAAGUUGGCCGUAUAUCAGCCGAAUAAUUCGCCAAAAGUGGCUUUUGAGCAGCUCUAUAAGAGGAUAUAGAACCAAUUAGCUCUGUUAGCCAGGUUCUACAUUCGACUAUAGAGCCGACUUAAUGCCAUUUUUACGGCUUAAUGGUUACUUGGGGCCUUUCAAUCGGCGUGCACUUUUGUUUGAGGAAAAAUUUGCGCUAGUGUUCGUGUGUUGAAAUGUCACUUAUCUCUAUACUGGGCAUCACGUGUUUUUGUUUACACAGCGUUUGAUCAAGACGCCACGACGCCGGCUGUAUAAAUGUCAUGACGGGCUAAACGUCACUUUCAAUUUGAUACUAGCGAUCACUGCAAUGAAUUUACCGUGUAAUGUUUUCGGUCAAGUCUCGGAAUCGAGUGGCACGUCGGUUUAGUCGGUGGUACAACGGUAACUGCGAGUUCUAUCAACCGUAUUCGACACAAGCGUCCAUUAUCCCGAGCACGUUAAUGUUCGUAUUGCAAUAGCUCACGAGAUUCGCAUCGCAUUGCCGCAGUUUCGCUGCCUGGAACAUUUGCUUCUAGCCUAGCUUCCAGCAGUUCGCACUCACGAUGGUGACAGGCGAUCCCGUGUCCACCUCGAAACGCAUCGGUACUCCGUUCACGCGCACUUUCAUCCAAAUUUUCGCAUUGUCCGAAAUGGUGUUUACCGAACACACCUCGCGCACAUCGGGUUUCGCAUCACUAUAGUCAUUUGCGGAAUUGUCCACGAAAUUCGUUUGCACAGCACUUUGUCGGUGCUAAUAUUGCUUAUCCAGAGAAAUCUUCCAACCUGGCGGAGUGAAGAAGACAAAGAAGACCUGUUCCGCAAACGUCAAACUGCUGCACACUUCAAAAAGGGUGUCAGGCCAUUUGGCCGAAGGUCAUUAGGCCGAAUGGUCAUUAGGCCGAAUGGUCAUUGGGUCUUCUUCUUGCCGUUACGUCCCCAUUGAGACAAAGCCUGCUUCUCAGCUAUGAACACUUCCACAGUUAUUAACUGAGAGCUUCCUCUGCAAAUGACCAUUUUGCAUGUGUAUAUCGUGUGACAGGCACGAAGAUACUUUAUGCUGAAUCUACUGAUAUUUUACCCAUGAUUUUUUCCUUCUUUUAAGGAGAAACAUCAGAGGAUACAAAUAUGGCUGGCACAAUGGCCGACUUGGACCCCUAUUCACGUUUUCAAGAGCAUCAAUCUUAAAAAUUCGUAAACAAAUGCGCUCGAUUUGCAAAAGCCCCAAGUAACCAUGACACUUUAUAUAGAGCAUUAUUUUCGCUUUAUAGUGUAAAGCCUGUAUCCGCAAUAAUCGGGACACAGAAGAACGGCAGUAACUCUAUACUGAAUCGAUAAAAAUUGGCCAAAAAUUAACUGAGAACUCUUCAAUGUAUGUUUAUUAUUUGUGCAAAAUUUCAUAAAAAUCGAUGCAUUACUUUUAACUGUGGAUGAGAAACAAACAGACGUGGUUUUUAAGAUUUUGUACAAUCAUGACCAAAUUUCAUUUGCAUAAUAGGUGGUUCUUUUCGGCUAAAAUUCAAAGUUCUGUAAGGAUAAUUUCGAAAUUUCGUAAGCAGUUAUGAUACUCAUAGAGACACUUUCCGUCAAAAUUUCAUCAACUUUUAUCAAUUGGAUUGGUAGUUACUGCUGUUGAUAGGGGGUAGUGUCAGUGAACAUGUUUCAUGUUUUUCAUGUGCGAUGUUUGCCCAUUCAUUACUUUUGAAUGUCUCUGUCAAUUUUCAUGAAAUUUUCACAGAAGGUAGUUGAUUAUGUGUGUAUUAUGCCUGAAAAAUUUGAUGAUUAUUGGUAGAGUACUUUCAACAAUAUAAUCAAAACAAUACGGGCUGCUGACUAAUUGUAGUCUGAGGGGCUAAAAUCACGUUUGGCCCCAUUAUAUGUUUCGACUAUAAAAUUGUUGAUAGUGCAUCGAUUUUUCUGAAAUUUUGUCUAUGGAAGUAAAGUAGAUUGAGAGGUUUAUGUUCAAAAUUUCAAUCAUUUCCUUUAUCAAAUUCAAAAGUUACAGCGUUGACAAGCUAAACCAGGGGCUGUACAAAAUUCAAUUGCACGCGUUCUACUGUUUCAUUGCUACAACAAAACGUACUGCACCGAUUCACAUGAAAUUUUGCCGGUGAAAUUAACACAUCUUAAGAUAUUAUCAUCAGGUCAAAUUUAGGCAAUUUUAAUUUAUCUAUUGCAGAGUAACAGCUAUAUUUCUGUGUCCCGAUUAUUGCGGAUACAGGCUUUAUUAUAUGACAUGCGAUAUAAAGUUGUUUUGUCAUAUAGGCACCAUUAAAGUAGGUUUAAAGUCGAAAGUGGCGCUACUAUUGUUGAUUUACAGCAAGCUUUACUGUGGUGAUUGCUAAAGCAUAUAACAUGCUUGUACCUUAUAGCUAAUGCAAUCAAAUCGCAUGGAAUGCACACUUAAUGCAUCAUGUCAAAAAAGAAAAAAAGUAUGUUUAUCAUUUUUCUAUAUAUUUUUAUCUUCCAAUACUCUCACUUUGAUGUUUUUUAUUGUAUUUCGGGAAUUGAACCUAGACUGCUGAAACUGACCACGAUGAAACUCGGACGCGCUAAUGCUGUGUGCUACGAUACCAUGUAUUUUGCACUUGGAAAAAUGUGCAACAUAAAGUAAAGUAUACUUCCCAAGUAACCAUUAAGCCGUAAAAAUAGCAUUAAGUCGGCUCUAUAGUCGAAUGUAGAACCUGGCUAACAGAGCUAAUUGGUUCUAUAUCCUCUUAUAGAGCUGCUCAAAAGCCACUUUUGGCGAAUUAUUCGGCUGAUAUACGGCCAACUUUAAAAUAUCGUACACUGACAAAAUUGCAAACGUAAAUUUUAUUUAACUAACAAAUUUACAAUUUAUAAGACUCCCCAAUGAUUAGUUUUAAAUACACCAACAUGAAAAUCAUAACCGUUUUAUUACUGUGUAUGCGGUUAGCUAUAACACUUAUGCACACCCCUUAUGUUAUUCAUAACAGCGCAAACAUAAAAAGUAUUAAUGCCCUGCUAUAGUAAAACAUUAUGUUUCUCCACACUUAAUUUCGAAGUUUGACCGAUUUGACCUGGACUCCUGUUCGGAAACAAAACAACAGGUUUCGCGCCAAAAGCAACGUUGGAAAAUUGUUCGGCUAAGUCGUUUGAAGCUGUACCAUUUCAAAAGGUAAUAGGAAAAGCGAGUUCCGGCUGUUCCGGACCAGAAACUCGGAAAAUUACCGGUGAAUAUAAUCAACCGAAAAGUCACCGUAAAAACUGAAGCAUCCUUUUAUGUCCUCCAAAACUACCCAAGUAACCAUGACGCUUUAUAUAGAGCAUUAUUUUCGCUUUAUAGUGUAUUAUAUGACAUGCGAUAUAAAGUUGUUUUGUCAUAUAGGCACCAUUAAAGUAGGUUUAAAGUCGAAAGUGGCGCUACUAUUGUUGAUUUACAGCAAGCUUUACUGUGGUGAUUGCUAAAGCAUAUAAAAUGCUUGUACCUUAUAGCUAAUGCAAUCAAAUCGCAUGGAAUGCACACUUAAUGCAUCAUGUCAAAAAUGAAAAAAAGUAUGUUUAUCAUUUUUCUAUCUAUUUUUAUCUUCCGAUACUCUCACUUUGAUGCUUUUUAUUGUAUUUCGGGAAUUGAACCUAGACUGCUGAAACUGACCACGAUGAAACUCGGACGCGCUAAUGCUGUGUGCUACGAUACCAUGUAUUUUGCACCUGGAAAAAUGUGCAACAUAAAGUAAAGUAUACUUAGCUAGUGCCUUAUUGAGUUGUGUUUUCAGCAACUCUAAAAAAUGUGCCGGGGUCUGAAUGCCAUCAGUUAUGUUACUCUCGAAUAUAAAUUCGUCUGUGUUGAUUCUGUUUUUUUUUGUUUUCAUAUGUGCUCACUUCUACCUAAAAUACAAUAAAUAAGAAACAAUACAAACAGCGCUUCAAUUCUUCCUUUUAUGAAAUCGGGUUAAACAAGGAAACCGAUACCCCACAUAAUUUUUGUUCCCUCAGCAUCUGAUUAUUUUCAUGUCCCAACCAGAAACCCAAAAAACCAUACAUAAUAUAAAUUUUCACACAGCAACAUCAGAGCAUGAUAAUCUAAGUGCUCCGCAGCAAUCCAUGAAAAUUUUGGUUUGUUUUGAAUGGUUCUGUUUCUAAAAGUGUUUUACAUUUUUUUUUUUCGAACUGAGCGAUAUUUUUCUGUUUACAACGAUGGAAGCUUUAGUAAAGGCACAUAUAAAGUAAUUGUAAGUAUUGGGUAGUCAGUCGGGAGUACUACAGAGACUCCCCGACUCAAUGGCCUCAGGGUCGGCACGUUCACUACACGUUACUCGCGGGCAGGUAGUUCUCACAUAAAAUGGAGGAAAACCACAGCACUUUUACACUUUCUACACCAGUUUAUUGCUCAACUACGCUUUAUUCCUAGGCUAUUCCUGGCACUUUCUACUCCCACUUUCUUAAUUCUAUCUGACCUGUUCUUUGCGGGGCCCCUUCUCCUUCUGCUCCACCACCUCUCCUUCCUCGUCUCCAACGGUGACUCGCGUGCGGGCGUGGAUCCUCGGCUCGCUCUCCACGGUUUCUGGGGAUGGCUUGGGACUCGCGCUUUCACUACUCGUCCGCGUCCUACCGAUAUUGUAACGGAUCGGUCUUCGGCUUUUGCCGGAAUGGCUCACGGACUCACGGGCUUCGUAGGGCGCUGCACGGGGUUUUAAACCAAAAAACGGCGGGGUUCUGUUUAAUGGAGAAGACAUCGUAGAUAAUACCAGGCUUGGAACCAAAACGGGAGUAUUCAGGGGUUACCUGAUGUCCACUUCGCCUUCUUGCAAUCCACUUCUCGUCACUACUCUCCUCUUUCACUAAUCCACUUUCCUUUCACUAUGCUUUCAAAGUCGUCCUUUCACUAUCGUUCAAAGUCAAACUGUCUUCGCUGAAGAACUUUUUCUAAGUGAAAAGGAUUUGGAACAUCGGUUGACUGCAAGGUUCUUGACCUCGUUCCGCGGUCAUUGCCCCCUCAGGGCAUAUGUACAUUCCUUAAUGGCCCCAUUACGCCACCCCUCAUGGCCGCUCCCAGAAUGGUAACCGUCCAUCUGGCGGUGGGUUUCGGUACUUCGGUGGGUGGAUGAUGGCGGUCAUCUCGUAGGGUGGUGGAGCCUGAUCCUAGCUAGCCCUACGGCUGUCGGGAGAUUAGCUGGGAAAAACCUACAUUCAUAACGAAUACUACCUGCCAUGUAUAUACACAUUCACGGUUCACACAAAAUCACACUAACUUCUCGGUAGUACUUACGACACGAAUUAUACAACACUUACACUCUCCCCCAGCUCGGGUAAAAAAAUAUUUACAGAGUAAAUAUUUUUUUCUUUCUCACAAAUCACAUUAGUUUUCACCGACUACACCUAAUUCUGAACCUGCACAACACGAAAAACCAUCACUAGACCGUAUUAACUUCCUUGACUGUAGACCACGCAACAUUUCACUCAUGACGUACUAGAUUAAACAUAGACCAAUUAACAGUAAAAAAUGUGAAUUUGGCACUAAAUUGUAACGGUUCGUAGUACCCCCUCAGCAGGUUGGGGAGAUUUUGUCGCGGUCUAGUGUAGUUUUCGUCUGCUUGUAUAUUUAAAAUUCAGGAAAGUGUUUGUGUUGUUUGUUUCCACUCUUUGUGUUUGCUAGUCACCCGAAAAGGACGCAGCCAUAGAUAGCAGCUACCAUCAUCCUUCAACAUUAGCCACCAGAUGCCUCUGGCUUGCCUGAAUCAUGGACGUAGACGUUGGUAGCGAAAGGAGGCCAUUAGGAUCUUGGAGAUCUUCAAUUGACCUAAGAAACGGCCAUUUGCCCAAGUGAUCGACACUCGUGAAGUCCGUUGUACUUGUAGUGUCUAAUGUGUUCCUAUUGUGUGUGUAAAUGAUGGAUUCCAAGGACACAGGUAAUCUAGAAUCUAGAUAAUUCCAUGAACCAUAUAAUACCUGGAAUUCACACCCCCCCCCUCACACAGAACCCCGAGGUUUUACUAUAAACCGUAGUUAACCGUGGUGAACCCUAACCCCAAAAUGGGUCACCCUCCGCCGUGAAGACAUCCGGCGAAGACUUGGGCAGAUGAAGAUCCGGCCAUUCGCUACUCCAGGCCGAGGACCAACCUGAGGCCCAUUCUCCAGCGGUCGCAGACACUCCGGUUCGAUUGGGCGGCAAAAGUCGCAACGGACAUGGGAGAAGAGGAAGGACGAUGAAGAAGAGGAUCGGUGGAUGAUGGCGGCAGCAGGAAAAAGGGGCCCCGAAGAAAGAAGGUCAGAUUAGAAUAAGAAAGUGGGUAGAGUAGGGUGAAAGUAGAUAGCUAGAAGAUAGACAGAAAGUGCACAAACGUUAGCCAAUAAACAGGAGUGUGAAAAGGCAAUCCAAGUGUUUUCCUGAAUCCGCGAAAUAGAAAGGAUAAGCGUGCCGACCUUGAGAUGUGAGGUCCUAAUACAGAGUUAGCCGCUGGGAAGGGUCACCUUCUGUGACCCUCUCCUCAGUCAACGGUAGCUGUGGCAACCGCCAUUUGUUACACUUGGCGCCCAAACAAAAUAGUCUUACCAGCUAUUUUACGGGUUCAGCUCGGGAAUCACUUGAGAGUAAGCCAUCACUACCGAAGUCUCUGGUAAAACUACCGAAACUUCACAGAACUGAUUAGCAAUCUACCAAAUUCACUCGUACUUACGUGCAUGUUAAAUUUUUCAUUCAACUCGGAGGGGU